This 208-nucleotide unclassified non-coding RNA is filed under the name Glomus sp. Its description in RNAcentral is "partial contains 5.8S ribosomal RNA and internal transcribed spacer 2". The stretch from base 1 to 65 matches the Rfam family "5.8S ribosomal RNA", at positions 84 to 154 of the family's 154-position model. Lineage: Eukaryota; Fungi; Glomeromycota; Glomeromycetes; Glomerales; Glomeraceae. The record is from RNAcentral.
GUGAAUCAUCGAAUUUUUGAACGCAAAUUGCACUCUCUUCGGAGAGAAUGCCUGUUUGAGGGUCAGCUUAAAAAAAAUCGACUUAUUCGCUGUUUCGCGGUGACAUUCGCCGGAAUUUGGGUCAUCUUAAACCUUUGGGUUUUAACCGGUUAAAAAUUUUCUUUACGAUUCUCCGAACGUUUUUAAGUUUUCUUUACACGUUUAAGGU